RNAcentral lists this ribosomal RNA (447 nucleotides) under uncultured bacterium. RNAcentral describes it as "SSU rRNA". It matches the Rfam family "Bacterial small subunit ribosomal RNA", at positions 26 to 518 of the family's 1533-position model. The record is from RNAcentral.
AGAACGAACGCUGGCGGCAUGCCUAACACAUGCAAGUCGAACGAGACCUUCGGGUCUAGUGGCGCACGGGUGCGUAACGCGUGGGAAUCUGCCCUUAGGUACGGAAUAACAGUGAGAAAUUACUGCUAAUACCGUAUGAUGUCUUCGGACCAAAGAUUUAUCGCCUAGGGAUGAGCCCGCGUUGGAUUAGCUAGUUGGUGGGGUAAAGGCCUACCAAGGCGACGAUCCAUAGCUGGUCUGAGAGGAUGAUCAGCCACACUGGGACUGAGACACGGCCCAGACUCCUACGGGAGGCAGCAGUGGGGAAUAUUGGACAAUGGGCGAAAGCCUGAUCCAGCAAUGCCGCGUGAGUGAAGAAGGCCUUCGGGUUGUAAAGCUCUUUUACCCGGGAAGAUAAUGACUGUACCGGGAGAAUAACGCCCCGGCUAACUCCGCGCCAGCAGCCGC